This 254-nucleotide ribosomal RNA is filed under the name uncultured bacterium. RNAcentral's name for it is "partial 16S ribosomal RNA". It matches the Rfam family "Bacterial small subunit ribosomal RNA", at positions 524 to 776 of the family's 1533-position model. The record is from RNAcentral.
CACGUAGGGGGCAAGCGUUGUCCGGAUUUAUUGGGCGUAAAGAGCUCGUAGGCGGUUCGGUAAGUCGGGUGUGAAACCUCCAGGCUCAACCUGGAGACGCCACCCGAUACUGCUGUGACUAGAGUCCGGUAGGGGAGCGUGGAAUUCCUGGUGUAGCGGUGAAAUGCGCAGACAUCAGGAGGAACACCAGCGGCGAAGGCGGCCUUCUGGGUCGACCCUGACGCUGAGACGCGAAAGCGUGGGGAGCAAACAGG